This 385-nucleotide ribosomal RNA is filed under the name uncultured bacterium. Its description in RNAcentral is "bacterial SSU rRNA". It matches the Rfam family "Bacterial small subunit ribosomal RNA", at positions 370 to 772 of the family's 1533-position model. The record is from RNAcentral.
AAUGGGGGAAACCCUGAUGCAGCAACGCCGCGUGAGUGAUGACGGCCUUCGGGUUGUAAAGCUCUGUCUUCAGGGAUGAUAAUGACGGUACCUGAGGAGGAAGCCACGGCUAACUACGUGCCAGCAGCCGCGGUAAUACGUAGGUGGCGAGCGUUGUCCGGAAUUACUGGGCGUAAAGGGCGCGUAGGCGGCCUGUUAAGUCAGAUGUGAAACCCCCAGGCUCAACUUGGGGAUUGCAUAUGAAACUGAUGGGCUCGAGUGUCGGAGAGGAAAGCGGAAUUCCUAGUGUAGCGGUGAAAUGCGUAGAUAUUAGGAGGAACACCAGUGGCGAAGGCGGCUUUCUGGACGUUAACUGACGCUGAGGCGCGAAAGCGUGGGGAGCAAA